GAUGAACGCUGGCGGCGUGCUUAACACAUGCAAGUCGAACGGAAAGGCUCCUGCUUGCAGGGGUACUCGAGUGGCGAACGGGUGAGUAACACGUGGGUGAUCUGCCCUGCACUUCGGGAUAAGCCUGGAAACUGGGUCUAAUACCGGAUAGGACGAUGGUUUGGAUGCCAUUGUGGAAAGUUUUUUCGGUGUGGGAUGAGCUCGCGGCCUAUCAGCUUGUUGGUGGGGUAAUGGCCUACCAAGGCGUCGACGGGUAGCCGGCCUGAGAGGGUGUACGGCCACAUUGGGACUGAGAUACGGCCCAGACUCCUACGGGAGGCAGCAGUGGGGAAUAUUGCACAAUGGGCGCAAGCCUGAUGCAGCGACGCCGCGUGGGGGAUGACGGCCUUCGGGUUGUAAACUCCUUUCGCUAGGGACGAAGCGCAAGUGACGGUACCUGGAGAAGAAGCACCGGCUAACUACGUG
This 465-nucleotide ribosomal RNA is filed under the name uncultured bacterium. RNAcentral's name for it is "partial 16S ribosomal RNA". It matches the Rfam family "Bacterial small subunit ribosomal RNA", at positions 28 to 507 of the family's 1533-position model. The record is from RNAcentral.